CCAUAAAUGUUUACCAUAAAUUUACUAUGAUCCUUGACAUUUCAAAUUUAUAUUGCUGUUAUUAUUUUUUGUGAUAAUUUGUAGAGCUGAAGUUUGUCAAGUUUGUAUAAUGCAUUUAGCGCUGUAGUUAAGAGCAUGGGCUAUGAAUGGAUGCUAAUGGAGAGCCUGUUGCAAUGUAAAAAAGACACUCAAGUAGCUCAGUGGAAUGGCCCACAUGAUGAGAAACUGAGAGCCAGCGUCAACUGCCCAUCACAUAAUUAAGCAAGCUUGGUAGCAGACCUUCUUGCUCCGGUCAAGCCUUCAGAUGACUGGAACCCCAGCUGACAACUCCACUGUAACCCUAUGAGAGCUGCCAAGCUAGAAUCACUCAGCCAAGCCACUCCUGAAUUCUGGAUCCCCAGAGUCUGUGUGAGAUAAUAAAUGUUCAUUGUUAUAAGCCA
Long non-coding RNA from Homo sapiens (human), 440 nucleotides. The record is from Ensembl. NCBI's taxonomy places the organism in Eukaryota, Metazoa, Chordata, Mammalia, Primates, Hominidae.